RNAcentral lists this ribosomal RNA (916 nucleotides) under uncultured bacterium. RNAcentral describes it as "bacterial SSU rRNA". It matches the Rfam family "Bacterial small subunit ribosomal RNA", at positions 8 to 916 of the family's 1533-position model. The record is from RNAcentral.
AGAGUUUGAUCCUGGCUCAGGAUAAACGCUAUCUGUGUGCUUAAUACAUGCAUGUUGAGCGGAAUAUGUUAGCUUGCUAAUAUAUUUAGUAGCAAAUGGGUGAGUAACACGUACCUAACCUACCUUUUGAACCGGGAUAACUAUUGGAAACAGCAGCUAAUACCGGAUAAAAUAAAAAAAUGCAUGUUUUUUUAUUAAAAGGAGCCUUUAAAGCUCCACCAAAAAAUGGGGGUGCGCAACAUUAGUUAGUUGGUAGGGUAAAGGCCCACCAAGACGAUGAUGUUUAGCGGGGCCAAGAGGCUGUACCGCCACACUGGGAUUGAGAUACGGCCCAGACUCCUACGGGAGGCAGCAGUAAGGAAUAUUCCACAAUGAGCGAAAGCUUGAUGGAGCAACACAGAGUGCAGGAUGAAGUCUUUAGGGAUGUAAACUGCUGUUGUAGGGAAGAAAAAACUAGAUAGGAAAUGAUUUAGUCUUGACGGUACCUUAUUAGAAAGUGACGGCAAACUAUGUGCCAGCAGCCGCGGUAAUACAUAGGUCGCAAGCGUUAUCCGGAAUUAUUGGGCGUAAAGCGUCCGCAGGUUUUUUGUUAAGUUUAAGGUUAAAUGCUAAAGCUCAACUUUAGUUCGCUUUAGAUACUGACAAAAUAGAAUUAUGAAGAGGUUAGCGGAAUUCCUAGUGGAGCGGUGGAAUGCGUAGAUAUUAGGAAGAACACCAAUAGGCGAAGGCAGCUAACUGGUCAUAUAUUGACACUAAUGGACGAAAGCGUGGGGAGCAAACAGGAUUAGAUACCCUGGUAGUCCACGCCGUAAACGAUGAUCAUUAGUUGGUGGCAAAAGUCACUAGCACAGCUAACGCGUUAAAUGAUCCGCCUGAGUAGUAUGCUCGCAAGAGUGAAACUUAAAGGAAUUGACGG